CUGGGGCGUUCUCUGUGUGCUGCCACGCGAUCCAAACCGACUUGUCUGGUGACUGGUAGCAAGUUUCAACUGUUACUAAAUCAACUGGGGAAAGCUUCCGGGGAUGGUGUUGGGUAUAGGAGAUGGAAGCGCCCGGAUAAAAAGAGCGUGCCGUGGGUACGUCCAGAGCUGUCAGGAGUCUCCAGGAAACAGCUGGCACGGGACUUGCUUGAGUUUCCAGAGCCUGGGAAAUUGAAGCAUAACAUAUUUAAAUUGGUGUGGCUUGCUGGGCAACUGGUCCAUGGCACUCUCGUUGCUCUGGGGCUGAGCUGCCCCGAUAGCUUGGCAGAAACGUCAGCUCAGCGUCGGCAUCCUUACCAGGUGAGACAGCGGCGUGACCGCAGCACAGGCUGGUGCACGCUGCGCUGCUCACAUGUGUGCGGAUGUUUGCUCUGCCAAGGGAGGUGGCCAGGCAGCAGGAGCAGGCUGUGGGAGCACGGUGGAGGGCUGGCUGGGAGCAGGGCACGGGGCAGCGGGGCUGCGGGGGGUGCAGCCUUUGCCAGCCUUGGGGGAACACGAGCCGGGUGAGAGGUGACCUCGUGUGUAACGGGGCUCUGUGCGACACUGGGUGUGUUUAGCGAUGGAAGCUGUGGUCGUCCCUUCUGCCAUUCCAGUCAAGGCAAAUGCCACACAACAGCUAUUAUGGCCUGAAGGAGUAAGGGUCAGGAAUGCCAGCUUAACUCAUUACUGUGUCUGACGGCUGUAGGACGGGGCAUGCUUUGAGCGCUGCUCUCAUGCUAGCUGCCUGCAGGACAGAACAGAACAGAAAAGAUCCCUCACCUCAUGCCAUUGCUGCUCCUCACUUCCCAUUUCUACAAGCUUUGUGAUCUCCAGGGCGAGGUGAAAACCUCAAAUCCCCCAGAAGAACAGCUAACUUCGUAACUCUUUUCUUGGUCUGUGCAACACCUUUCUAGUAAAUCACUCUGCUUGGGAUCACAACAUCUCUGUUUCCUCCAGGAAAGUUUCUCUGUGACUUACUGUGUUCAAGCUCCGGCUCCACGCUGUGCAAUUAUGGUAUUAAAAAGAGAGAUCUUCUGUCAUACACUUCUAUUUAGGUGAACAACUGAUAAACAGAUUAAAGGCGAAAUUGUAGACUAGCAAUUAAGCCAUCAAAGGAAGCCUACAGCAGAUUUUGUUAAAGGCCAAAUCCCAUGGUUCUUACCCAGGUUAAACCAAUCAGUUCAACAGAGCCAAUGCGGCUGAGGUUUUAUCAGUGCAGCAACUGCAAGACGUGGCCCUCUGUGCAGCUUGCUUACACUCGUUAUCUCUGGUUUGUCUCCAGUUUCAGCUGCUUAUUCUCACUGUGUGAAUUUAUUAGUCACUUGUAAUUUCUUCAUUGAUUUUUGUUAAACUGUUUCCUG
Molecule: long non-coding RNA, 1400 nt
Filed under: Numida meleagris (helmeted guineafowl)
Lineage: Eukaryota; Metazoa; Chordata; Aves; Galliformes; Numididae
Description: lncRNA (ENSNMEG00000016782.1)
Source: RNAcentral